RNAcentral lists this ribosomal RNA (439 nucleotides) under uncultured bacterium. RNAcentral's name for it is "partial 16S ribosomal RNA". It matches the Rfam family "Bacterial small subunit ribosomal RNA", at positions 339 to 795 of the family's 1533-position model. The record is from RNAcentral.
CUACGGGUCGCAGCAGUGGGGAAUAUUGCACAAUGGGGGAAACCCUGAUGCAGCGACGCCGCGUGAGUGAAGAAGUAUUUCGGUAUGUAAAGCUCUUUCAGCAGGGAAGAUAAUGACGGUACCUGACUAAGAAGCACCGGCUAAAUACGUGCCAGCAGCCGCGGUAAUACGUAUGGUGCAAGCGUUAUCCGGAUUUACUGGGUGUAAAGGGUGCGUAGGUGGCAUGGCAAGUCAGAUGUGAAAACCCGGGGCUCAACCCCGUGACUGCAUUUGAAACUGUCAAGCUAGAGUGCAGGAGAGGAAAGCGGAAUUCCUAGUGUAGCGGUGAAAUGCGUAGAUAUUAGGAGGAACACCAGUGGCGAAGGCGGCUUUCUGGACUGUAACUGACACUGAGGCACGAAAGCGUGGGGAGCAAACAGGAUUAGAUACCCUUGUAGUC